GAUGAACGCUAGCGGCAGGCUUAACACAUGCAAGUCGAGGGGCAGCGCGAUGUAGCAAUACAUUGGCGGCGACCGGCGCACGGGUGCGUAACACGUAUGGAAUCUGCCCUGUACUGGGGAAUAGCCCGGAGAAAUCCGGAUUAAUGCCCCAUAACAGACGAAGUGGCAUCACUUUGUCUUGAAAGCUCCGGCGGUACAGGAUGACCAUGCGCACGAUUAGCUAGUUGGUGAGGUAACGGCUCACCAAGGCUACGAUCGUUAGGGGGCCUGAGAGGGUUAUCCCCCACACUGGUACUGAGACACGGACCAGACUCCUACGGGAGGCAGCAGUGAGGAAUAUUGCGCAAUGGAGGCAACUCUGACGCAGCCAUGCCGCGUGCAGGAAGAAGGCGCUACGCGUUGUAAACUGCUUUUACCCGGGAAGAAACCCCUCUACGUGUGGAGGGUUGACGGUACCGGAGGAAUAAGCACCGGCUAACUUCGUGCCAGCAGCC
This 494-nucleotide ribosomal RNA is filed under the name uncultured bacterium. RNAcentral's name for it is "bacterial SSU rRNA". It matches the Rfam family "Bacterial small subunit ribosomal RNA", at positions 28 to 516 of the family's 1533-position model. The record is from RNAcentral.